CAGUAGCCACGGUAAUACGGAGGGAGCUAGCGUUGUUCGGAAUUACUGGGCGUAAAGCGCACGUAGGCGGCCUUGUAAGUUAGAGGUGAAAGCCUGGAGCUCAACUCCAGAAUUGCCUUUAAGACUGCAUCGCUUGAAUCCAAGAGAGGUGAGUGGAAUUCCGAGUGUAGAGGUGAAAUUCGUAGAUAUUCGGAAGAACACCAGUGGCGAAGGCGGCUCACUGGCUUGGUAUUGACGCUGAGGUGCGAAAGCGUGGGGAGCAAACAGGAUUAGAUACCCGCGUAGUCCCUGUCUCUUAUAC
This 301-nucleotide ribosomal RNA is filed under the name uncultured bacterium. RNAcentral's name for it is "partial 16S ribosomal RNA". It matches the Rfam family "Bacterial small subunit ribosomal RNA", at positions 509 to 807 of the family's 1533-position model. The record is from RNAcentral.